Molecule: unclassified non-coding RNA, 123 nt
Filed under: Pseudomonas granadensis
Lineage: Bacteria; Pseudomonadati; Pseudomonadota; Gammaproteobacteria; Pseudomonadales; Pseudomonadaceae
Source: RNAcentral
AGAAAUAGAACGCGAGAAGCGCAAAGGAAAAAACCUGGAAGCAUGACGAUAGCCAGGAGCUUUCCGAACCUGACCGCAAGUUCUAAGCAGUCGAUACGAAAAGCCCCGCAAGUGCGGGGCUUU